CUAGCAAAACGAAUUUUAGUUAGAAUCCCCGAAACUAAGUGAGCUACUUCGAAAUAGUUCUAGAACAAACCCGUCUCUGUCGCAAUAGAGUGGGAAAAUUUCCAAGUAGAGGCAAUAAACCUACCGCACUUAGAGAUAGCUGGUUGCUCAAGAAAAGAAUUUUAGUUCUACCUUAAGUCUCUCAAUUUUACAAAAAAUUUUUUAGGCUUAAGAGCUAUUCAAAUAAGGCACAGCUUAUUUGAAACAGGAUACAACCUACAAUAUAGGGUAAUAAAUAAUAGCAGGUGACAAGUGGGCCUAAGAGCAGCCAUCUUCUGAAAAGCGUUAAAGCUUUACCCCUAUUUUUUCUUAAUUCCUUAAUACACCUUCAACCCUUCAUCAGUAUUGAACAACCCCAUAAACUUAUGGAAGCUAUAAUGCUAGAACUAGUAACAAGAAAUAAAUUUUCUCCAUAAUUCAAGUCUAAGCCAGAGUAGAUAUUCUACUGGCAAUUAACGCAAAUGAGAAUAUUAUAUUAACCCUGCAAGAAAAACCUAUAUUUACCAUCGUUAAUCUUACACUAGAGUAUUAAUGGAAAGAUUAAAAGAAAAAGAAGGAACUCGGCAAAACCUAACCC
Molecule: ribosomal RNA, 616 nt
Filed under: Gephyromantis kintana
Lineage: Eukaryota; Metazoa; Chordata; Amphibia; Anura; Mantellidae
Description: partial 16S ribosomal RNA
Source: RNAcentral